GUGCCAGCCGCCGCGGUAAUACGUAGGGGGCGAGCGUUACCCGGAUUUACUGGGCGUAAAGGGGGCGUAGGCGGCCGUGAAAGUCCGGUGUGAAAACUCACGGCUCAACCGUGGGACUGCGCUGGAAACUACACGGCUUGAGGACGGUAGAGGGAGACGGAACUGCUGGUGUAGGGGCGAAAUCCGUAGAUAUCAGCAGGAACGCCGGUGGAGAAGUCGGUCUCCUGGGCCGUUCCUGACGCUGAGGCCCGAAAGCUAGGGGAGCAAACCGGAUUAGAUACCCGGGUAGUCCUAGCCGUAAACGAUGCCCACUAGGUGUGGGGGAGUAAUUCCUCCGUGCUGAAGCUAACGCGCUAAGUGAGCCGCCUGGGGAGUAUGCCCGCAAGGGUGAAACUCAAAGGAAUUGACGGGG
RNAcentral lists this ribosomal RNA (412 nucleotides) under uncultured prokaryote. Its description in RNAcentral is "bacterial SSU rRNA". It matches the Rfam family "Bacterial small subunit ribosomal RNA", at positions 505 to 918 of the family's 1533-position model. The record is from RNAcentral.